AGCACAGGGCGCUGGGGAACCCGGCUCAGGCCUGUGCAUGGAGCCCUGGCACAGCCUCCUCCACUGAGCCCUGUGCUGUCAGCAGGGAGACACCCUGAGGCCCAGGAGGAAGGAAGUGGAUUUGCAUGAGGCCCCGCCCACCCAGGGGUGAGGAGCCUUGAAGACCACACCCCAGCUGAGGGCUCAGAGCAGAGCCUGGAGCCUCACCAUGGCCUGGACCCUCCUGCUCCCCCUCCUCACACUCUGCACAGGUUCCGUGGCCUCUUCAGGAGUGACUCAGCCCCCAGCAGUGUCUGUGGCCUUGGGACAGGCAACCACGAUCACCUGCCAGGGAGAUUUCGUUAAAAAAUAUUUUCCAAGCUGGUACCAGCAGAAGCCCGGCCAGGUCCCCGUCCUGCUCAUCUAUGCUGACAAAAACAGGACCUCAACUAUCCCUGAGCGAUUCUCUAGUUCUAAGUCAGGGGACAGGGACACCCUGACCAUCACUGGGGCCCAGACCCAGGACGAGGCCGACUAUUACUGUUUAGCCUAUGACGAAAGUGCUAAAGCUCACAGUGACACAGGCGGAUGGGGAAGUGGGACAGAAACCUCCCUGUGUCACCCGCUCCUCCAGCCCUGGGGACUGCAGACCGAGCCCUGAGCAGGUUCAGCCCAGGUCCCACUUCCAGGUCCCCAGCUGCCCCCUCCUCAGCC
Myotis daubentonii (Daubenton's bat) is the source of this 693-nucleotide non-coding RNA. The record is from the annotation of a RefSeq genome assembly. Lineage: Eukaryota; Metazoa; Chordata; Mammalia; Chiroptera; Vespertilionidae.